CCUACGGGAGGCAGCAGUGGGGAAUUUUGGACAAUGGGGGCAACCCUGAUCCAGCCAUGCCGCGUGAGUGAAGAAGGCCUUCGGGUUGUAAAGCUCUUUCAGACGGAAAGAAAACGCAUCGGUGAAUACCCGGUGUGGAUGACGGUAGCGUAAGAAGAAGCACCGGCUAACUACGUGCCAGCAGCCGCGGUAA
Molecule: ribosomal RNA, 193 nt
Filed under: uncultured Zoogloea sp.
Lineage: Bacteria; Pseudomonadati; Pseudomonadota; Betaproteobacteria; Rhodocyclales; Zoogloeaceae
Description: partial 16S ribosomal RNA
Rfam family: Bacterial small subunit ribosomal RNA
Source: RNAcentral